GAAUGUAACAAAAACCUUUGUUCGACGCACACGAUGGAGCCCUCGUUCGAGCAAGGUCUCCAACCGUUGAAGUUCCUCUAGAGCAAGUCCUUGAAGGUCCUCACCGUGUACCUCAGUUCCUGAUUUUUGUCAAACAACUCUUUUCCCAUCCUUAUUUCAUCACUUUCCUGGAGCUACAGACAGAUUGAAAUACAAUCAGAAAGAAUCAUGCUUAUCGUGACAACACAAAUAAGUUGGUUAUAUGAAGAUCAAGAGAUGAAAACCUGUAGAUCGAGUGAAGGUUUGGAAGAUCAGGGAGCUGAGUGAAACAUUGAUAGUUACUGGUAUAAAGAGAAAGAGUUUAGGGUUUCUGGAUCAUUCUCGCACACCAGUUUCUCUCUCAUCUCACACCUACCCCCUCAUCUCUUAAUCUGUUCGAGUUGUUCAAGCAAUUACAAGCUGUUAUCUAUGUUAAUGAUCCAGUGUGGAUCUUAUUUCUCAGUUGUUGAUCCUUCUUGUGGAUCUGUUGUUGUUAUAGAUCCUGUGGAUCUUUGUAUUUGGUUGUAUCGUUCUUAAUAAUCAACUGAUAAUCAUCAGUUGAUUGUUCUUCGUAUUUUUCAUAUAACAGAUCUUACCGUUUGUAAGAUCUUGGGAGGUUAGGGUGUUUUUAGGGUUGGAUAAGUAAUAAAAGUUUUACGUCAUGUUUUGC
Molecule: long non-coding RNA, 688 nt
Filed under: Helianthus annuus (common sunflower)
Lineage: Eukaryota; Viridiplantae; Streptophyta; Magnoliopsida; Asterales; Asteraceae
Description: hypothetical non coding rna
Source: RNAcentral